CACGUGACGCUACGUCUGUCAACAUGAGUGGGCACCGGACUCUGUGUGGGGGUUCGGGAAGCUGCGGGAUGGAAGCGAGUCAUGACCUGCAAUUUUUCCAUCUCGGCCGCCGUUUUAAAAAGCUGCAAAACGAGCGGCUUUGCCGGCGUUCAAACUGGGAACGAAUUCCCUUUCCGACGACUAGAUAGAGGAGUUGUUCUGUUCGCUUAGCCGCACUGACUAGUUAGCUUCUAAGCUAAGUACGUAAUGGUCGUGCCUUGUGUCCGCUUUUUGUCGCUUAUUUUAUGCGUACUGAUACAAAAUGCUUAUUAUACGAUAUUAAAUCGGCGUAGUGUUAUGAAUUUGCGCAGUUAACGCACGUUACACCCGGGGACUUGGAAGGAAUUGCAGUAAAUAUUGACAGUCACAGCACCGACCUGAAGUUAUGGUUGACGUUACAGUCCGUCGUUUAUUUACAAUAAGUUACUGACUUGAAGUCUACUUUAAGUACGUCUGAGGCGGGAAGAAUGAGACGUCGCCAUCGCUCACACAAGACCGUCCUACUUAUUGCAUCGAUUAGCUGACCAACAUCUGCUGAUACCGAUUUUUUGUUGUUGUUUCCUGUCGUGAAUCUUUUUAUAUUCACGCAUCCAUGACUGGAGGGCUCUACACGCUGUCCCAGCAGGGGGACGUGGCAGGACCGUCCCUCGGCAACACGACCCCCACCCCUGGCCCUGAUAACCGGGGUUGUGAGAAUGGUGCCCUAAUGGACUCAUUUGGGAUCUUCCUUCAAGGACUCCUGGCUGUAAUGGCUUUCAGCAUUCUCAUGUUAAAACGCCUCAGGGAGCCCAAACAUGAGCGGAGACCCUGGAAAAUCUGGUUCCUGGAUACUUCCAAGCAGGCUAUUGGGAUGCUUUUCAUCCACUUUGCUAAUGUUUACCUUUCAGACCUUACAGAGGAGGAUCCCUGCUCGCUAUACCUCAUUAACUUCCUAUUAGAUGCCUCAUUGGGAAUGUUGUUGAUCUACUCUGGCAUACGAGCUGUCAGUGCGGUUGUCGAGUGGAGGCAGUGGGAGUCUCUCCGCUUUGGAGAAUAUGGAGAGCCCAUACAAUGCACAGCAUGGUUGGGUCAGUGUAUCCUCUACAUCCUUAUCAUGAUGUUUGAGAAAGUCCUCAUCAUGCUGGUCCUCCUCAUCCCCCAGUGGAAGAAGCUUGCUCUUCUCAACCCCAUUGAGAAUCCUGACCUGGAACUGGCCAUCGUCAUGCUCAUCGUUCCUUUCUUUGUGAACGCCCUCAUGUUUUGGGUAGUAGACAAUUUCCUAAUGAAGAAGCACAGGACCAAAGCAAAGCUUGAGGAGAGGGAAGAGGACUCUCGGGGGAACAGCAAGGUGCGCUACAGACGAGCAUUGUCUCACGAUGACUCAGAGUCAGAGAUCCUUUUCUCAGCAGAUGAUGAAAUGGACGAGUCCGACGAAGAGGAUGUUCGCCGCCUGGCAGGUCUAAAGACGGUCAAGAAAAAGAAGCUGCGAAUGGGCAUCCCUGUUUGACCGAGGGUCUCGGAAAACAACCACGUCGGAAGCAAACGUAAAAGCCGCCACACUUCCUUAUCUACAGACAAACAUGGGGAUGGAUCCCUUUAAUGGCGCUAAGGACUUGGGUUUUUUCUUUUCUUUCAGCCAGCCAAUGACACUCCUGGAUGACUAUUUAUUGUGUUUUGAAGACACUAACGAGCAUCACGUUGUUAAAGCGUAGGCCUACUCUGCAUAAUAGGAAAAUAUGCAACAUUUACUUUACUUACUGCAGUGUACGGACGUUUGUGCUUGAGGGAUCAUCUUCGUUUUGGCUAUAUUUUUUAUAUAAAUGCCAUUUUCUCAUGUAGACCACCAAGACCUGCGUGUGCUUGUCUGCGUGCGUGUGUAUGGUGUGCUUGCGUGAAGCCCUUGAUAACUACUGUAAUUGUUGUGUUUGCAUCAGAAUCCUUUCAAGUCCAGUCACUGCAAAAUCCCAGACAAUUUUCAAUCCACUAGUGUUUUGUCUUUAAAUUGUGUCACUAUUUUUUCAUUUUUUUUCAUACAUGCAGCUUUUAUUUUUGGGCCAAAAUGUUGACUAUGCUGGCUCCAAAAGUGUUCUCCCAAAAAGAUGAGCAAAUAUGGGAACCCUCUCUUGCACAAUUUACCACAUUUGCUUUUUUUUUUUCCUUUGUGUUUCUUUAGCACAGUGACAGUGUGCCUGAGCAACAUUACCAGCAGAUGUUAAUUUGUUGUUGACUUGUGUUUUUAUUGUUUUAUCAGGGCUCCAGGUGCAUUCAGCAGGCUGUGAUUUCAAGAAUGGGAUGUGCAUAGACCGUUAUACUGUUAAGUGACUGUGGACCAAGCAGUUAAUGAGAGAAAUGGUGUUAGAGUAAAUAUACGCCUGUUUACGUUGGUGUGUGUGCAGAGUUGACUGAUGGACCCUUUGAAGAAAAUGGACUGCGACAUUAACUGUGACUGUGCCGCUGUGGAUGAUUUCACGGUGGCAUUAAAAUGAUAUUUUAUUGGGAAAAAAGCUCUACCGCAAAUGCAGACAUCCGCCAACCUGGUUUUAAAGAAAAUGUUUCUGGAAGCAAGAGCAGUGUUCUAUUGAAGACAAUACAACAGCAAACUGAAAAAUGAUCUCUCGGACAAAGCACUCAGCUCGAAAAAACGCAGAUGAAAAGGCCAACGUCUUCUGCCAAACCUUUGUGGACAAGUGCACAUAGCCUGGGGCAUCAGAACAACCUCAGCUCCACAGCCCACCACCAUCCUCUCACUUUGGAGAUGUCCACUUUAAACCCAAAGAGGUGAGUAACAUCCUACCCAACCUAAACCCAAGUAGUGUCCUCAAAGAGUCCGCCGCUGGCUCGGUUCAUAGAGCUGCCAUGCCAGCAACUUGAAGGUUCCUGGUUCAAUCCCCAGCUUCCGCCAUCCUAGUCACGUCUGCUGUGUCUUUGAGUAAGACACUUCUUCACCCUUGCUCCUGAUGAGUUUUAGUUAAGGUCUUGCAUGGCAGCUCCUGCCAUUAGUGUGUGGAAAUAGUGUCAGAGCGCUUUGGGUACCUUG
Nerophis ophidion (straightnose pipefish) is the source of this 3055-nucleotide RNA transcript. It is a transcript of the gene named store-operated calcium entry regulator STIMATE-like, with no coding region annotated. Lineage: Eukaryota; Metazoa; Chordata; Actinopteri; Syngnathiformes; Syngnathidae. The transcript has 10 exons. The record is from RefSeq and is a predicted model, not a curated record.